RNAcentral lists this ribosomal RNA (253 nucleotides) under uncultured bacterium. Its description in RNAcentral is "partial 16S ribosomal RNA". It matches the Rfam family "Bacterial small subunit ribosomal RNA", at positions 524 to 776 of the family's 1533-position model. The record is from RNAcentral.
UACAGAGGGUGCGAGCGUUGUCCGGAAUCACUGGGCGUAAAGGGCGCGUAGGUGGCCCGACAAGUCAAUGGUGAAAGCUCAACGCUCAACGUCGAGUCGGCCAUCGAUACUGUUGGGCUGGAGCACUGUAGAGGCUCAUGGAAUUCCGGGUGUAGCGGUGGAAUGCGUAGAGAUCCGGAAGAACACCGGUGGCGAAGGCGGUGAGCUGGGCAGUUGCUGACACUGAGGCGCGACAGCGUGGGGAGCAAACAGG